GACGAACGCUGGCGGCGUGCUUAACACAUGCAAGUCGAACGGAAAGGCCCUGCUUUUGUGGGGUGCUCGAGUGGCGAACGGGUGAGUAACACGUGAGUAACCUGCCCUUGACUUUGGGAUAACUUCAGGAAACUGGGGCUAAUACCGGAUAGGAUCUCCUGCUGCAUGGUGGGGGUUGGUCAGUUUCGGCGGUUGGGGAUGGACUCGCGGCUUAUCAGCUUGUUGGUGGGGUAGUGGCUUACCAAGGCUUUGACGGGUAGCCGGCCUGAGAGGGUGACCGGCCACAUUGGGACUGAGAUACGGCCCAGACUACAACGGGAGGCAGCAGUGGGGAAUAUUGCACAAUGGGCGGAAGCGUGAUGCAGCAACGCCGCGUGCGGGAUGACGGCCUUCGGGUUGUAAACCGAUUUCGAAUGAGAAGAAGCGUGAGUGACGGUAAUGGGUAAAGAAGCACCGGCUAACUACGUG
RNAcentral lists this ribosomal RNA (468 nucleotides) under uncultured bacterium. RNAcentral describes it as "partial 16S ribosomal RNA". It matches the Rfam family "Bacterial small subunit ribosomal RNA", at positions 28 to 507 of the family's 1533-position model. The record is from RNAcentral.